GUCUACAGCCAUACCACCCUGAACAUGCCUGAUCUCAUCUGAUCUCAGAAGCUAAUAAACAAAGAAGUCACACCUAGAAACAUCGUAGUCU
Molecule: ribosomal RNA, 91 nt
Organism: Ictidomys tridecemlineatus (thirteen-lined ground squirrel)
Lineage: Eukaryota; Metazoa; Chordata; Mammalia; Rodentia; Sciuridae
Source: Ensembl